UACGGAGGGUGCAAGCGUUGUUCGGAUUCAUUGGGCGUAAAGGGUGCGUAGGCGGCGCGGUAAGUCGGGUGUGAAAUCUCGGGGCUUAACUCCGAAACUGCACUCGAUACUGCCGUGCUUGAGGACUGGAGAGGAGACUGGAAUUUACGGUGUAGCGGUGAAAUGCGUAGAUAUCGUAAGGAAGACCAGUGGCGAAGGCGGGUCUCUGGACAGUUCCUGACGCUGAGGCACGAAGGCCAGGGGAGCAAACGGG
Molecule: ribosomal RNA, 253 nt
Filed under: uncultured bacterium
Lineage: Bacteria
Description: partial 16S ribosomal RNA
Rfam family: Bacterial small subunit ribosomal RNA
Source: RNAcentral